RNAcentral lists this ribosomal RNA (291 nucleotides) under uncultured bacterium. RNAcentral's name for it is "partial 16S rRNA". It matches the Rfam family "Bacterial small subunit ribosomal RNA", at positions 224 to 515 of the family's 1533-position model. The record is from RNAcentral.
GAUGAGCCUGCGUCCUAUCAGGUAGUUGGUGAGGUAACGGCUCACCAAGCCUACGACGGGUAGCUGGUCUGAGAGGAUGAUCAGCCACACUGGAACUGAGACACGGUCCAGACUCCUACGGGAGGCAGCAGUGAGGAAUAUUGCUCAAUGCCCGCAAGGGUGAAGCAGCGACGCCGCGUGAGGGAUGAAGGCCCUAUGGGUUGUAAACCUCUGUAGGGAGGGAAGAAAAUCCCGUUUUACGGGACUGACGGUACCUCCAAAGUAAGCCCCGGCCAACUACGUGCCAGCAGC